GACGUAGGGCGCGAGCGUUGUCCGGAUUUAUUGGGCGUAAAGAGCUCGUAGGCGGCUUGUCGCGUCGGCUGUGAAAACCCGCGGCUCAACUGUGGGCGGGCAGCUGAUACGGGCAGGCUGGAGUUCGGUAGGGGAGACUGGAAUUCCUGGUGUAGCGGUGAAAUGCGCAGAUAUCAGGAGGAACACCGGUGGCGAAGGCGGAUCUCUGGGACGGUACUGACGCUGAGACGCGAAAGCGUGGGGAGCGAACAGG
RNAcentral lists this ribosomal RNA (253 nucleotides) under uncultured bacterium. RNAcentral describes it as "partial 16S ribosomal RNA". It matches the Rfam family "Bacterial small subunit ribosomal RNA", at positions 524 to 776 of the family's 1533-position model. The record is from RNAcentral.